RNAcentral lists this ribosomal RNA (448 nucleotides) under uncultured bacterium. RNAcentral describes it as "bacterial SSU rRNA". It matches the Rfam family "Bacterial small subunit ribosomal RNA", at positions 352 to 793 of the family's 1533-position model. The record is from RNAcentral.
CAGUGGGGAAUAUUGCACAAUGGGGGAAACCCUGAUGCAGCCAUGCCGCGUGUGUGAAGAAGGCCUUCGGGUUGUAAAGCACUUUCAGUAGGGAGGAAGGUAGUGUAGUUAACACCUGCACUAUUUGACGUUAGCUGCAGAAGAAGCACCGGCUAACUCCGUGCCAGCAGCCGCGGUAAUACGGAGGGUGCGAGCGUUAAUCGGAAUUACUGGGCGUAAAGCGCAUGCAGGUGGUUUGUUAAGUCAGAUGUGAAAGCCCGGGGCUCAACCUCGGAAUUGCAUUUGAAACUGGCAGACUAGAGUACUGUAGAGGGGGUAGAAUUUCAGGUGUAGCGGUGAAAUGCGUAGAGAUCUGAAGGAAUACCGGUGGCGAAGGCGGCCCCCUGGACAAAGACUGACGCUCAGAUGCGAAAGCGUGGGGAGCAAACAGGAUUAGAUACCCUGGUAG